GCAAGUCGAGCGGUAACAGAGAUAGCUUGCUAUCUGCUGACGAGCGGCGGACGGGUGAGUAAUGCUUGGGAAUAUGCCUUUGAGUGGGGGACAACAGUUGGAAACGACUGCUAAUACCGCAUAAUGUCUACGGACCAAAGGGGGGGAUGUUCGGACGUCUCGCUCAUAGAUUAGCCCAAGUGAGAGUAGCUAGUUGGUAAGGUAAUGGCUUACCAAGGCGACGAUCUCUAGCUGGUGUGAGAGGAUGAGC
RNAcentral lists this ribosomal RNA (250 nucleotides) under uncultured bacterium. Its description in RNAcentral is "partial 16S ribosomal RNA". It matches the Rfam family "Bacterial small subunit ribosomal RNA", at positions 57 to 305 of the family's 1533-position model. The record is from RNAcentral.